GUGAGUCAUCGAAUCUUUGAACGCACAUUGCGCCUCCCUUAACCGGGGGGCAUGCCUGUCUGAGCGUCAUUUAAACCUAUGGACCCGAUUGGGUUCCGUGUUGGGCCUCGCCCCUCUUUGAGAGGCGUCGCCUUAAAGGCAUCGGCUUUAUGGAGCGGACGGGAUCCUUUUGGACUGACCGUUUCAUGGCUGGAAUUUGACUCUGACUUGACCUCAGAUCAGGUAGGGACACCGCCUGAACUUAAGCAUAUCAAUAAGCGGAGGA
This 265-nucleotide unclassified non-coding RNA is filed under the name Archaeorhizomyces sp. Its description in RNAcentral is "partial contains 5.8S ribosomal RNA, internal transcribed spacer 2, and large subunit ribosomal RNA". The stretch from base 1 to 69 matches the Rfam family "5.8S ribosomal RNA", at positions 84 to 154 of the family's 154-position model. The record is from RNAcentral. Lineage: Eukaryota; Fungi; Ascomycota; Archaeorhizomycetes; Archaeorhizomycetales; Archaeorhizomycetaceae.